UACGGAGGAUCCAAGCGUUAUCCGGAAUUACUGGGCGUAAAGAGUUGCGUAGGUGGCAUAGUAAGCAAGCAGUGAAAGCGUGGGGCUCAACCCCAUAAACAUUGUUUGAACUGCUAAGCUAGAGAAUGAGAGAGGUCGCUGGAAUUCCCUGUGUAGGAGUGAAAUCCGUAGAUAUAGGGAGGAACACCGAUGGCGUAGGCAGGCGACUGGCUCAUUUCUGACACUAAGGCACGAAAGCGUGGGUAGCAAACGGG
This 254-nucleotide ribosomal RNA is filed under the name uncultured bacterium. Its description in RNAcentral is "partial 16S ribosomal RNA". It matches the Rfam family "Bacterial small subunit ribosomal RNA", at positions 524 to 776 of the family's 1533-position model. The record is from RNAcentral.